UACGUAGGUGGCAAGCGUUAUCCGGAUUUAUUGGGCGUAAAGGGAACGCAGGCGGUCUUUUAAGUCUGAUGUGAAAGCCUUCGGCUUAACCGGAGUAGUGCAUUGGAAACUGGGAGACUUGAGUGCAGAAGAGGAGAGUGGAACUCCAUGUGUAGCGGUGAAAUGCGUAGAUAUAUGGAAGAACAACAGUGGCGAAAGCGGCUCUCUGGUCUGUAACUGACGCUGAGGUUCGAAAGCGUGGGUAGCAAACAGG
This 253-nucleotide ribosomal RNA is filed under the name uncultured bacterium. Its description in RNAcentral is "partial 16S ribosomal RNA". It matches the Rfam family "Bacterial small subunit ribosomal RNA", at positions 524 to 776 of the family's 1533-position model. The record is from RNAcentral.